RNAcentral lists this ribosomal RNA (465 nucleotides) under uncultured bacterium. Its description in RNAcentral is "partial 16S ribosomal RNA". It matches the Rfam family "Bacterial small subunit ribosomal RNA", at positions 28 to 507 of the family's 1533-position model. The record is from RNAcentral.
GACGAACGCUGGCGGCGUGCUUAACACAUGCAAGUCGAACGGAAAGGCCCCUUUGGGGGUCCUCGAGUGGCGAACGGGUGAGUAACACGUGAGUAACCUGCCCUUGACUUCGGGAUAACUUCAGGAAACUGGGGCUAAUACCGGAUAGGAAUCCUUGCUGCAUGGUGGGGGGUGGAAAGCUUCGGCGGUUUUGGAUGGACUCGCGGCUUAUCAGCUUGUUGGUGGGGUAGUGGCUUACCAAGGCUUUGACGGGUAGCCGGCCUGAGAGGGCGACCGGCCACAUUGGGACUGAGAUACGGCCCAGACUCCUACGGGAGGCAGCAGUGGGGAAUAUUGCACAAUGGGCGGAAGCCUGAUGCAGCAACGCCGCGGGCGGGAGGACGGCCUUCGGGUUGUAAACCGCUUUCAGCAGGGGCGAAGCUUGUGGUGACGGUACCUGCAGAAGAAGCACCGGCUAACUACGUG